UGAUUUUAUUGGAGCCCAUGACAACGCCUUGUCCAUAUAAGCAGCAGCAACCCUUUGUUCAUCCCCAAAAUGUUCUUGUAAUAGGAUUUUAGCUUGAGCAUAGCCCCUGUUUGGGUCCAUAUGCUGGCAGCUUCUCACAAGAUCUCUUGGACGACCUCUAGUGUAUUGCUCGAGGAAGUACAGGCAAUCACUAUGACUGUUGGACUUGCUUUCAAUACAGUUUUCAAAGGCUCUCAGGAACGUAUGGAACUGCAGUGGGUCACCAUCAAACACCUGGAUGUCUCUUUUAGGCAAGAGCGCAUGUUGCUGCUGUUGUAUCAGUAGUGUUGUAAUUUCAUUCUGUCUUUUCAUGAUGUCAAGAACAUUGUUUUGCUCCCCAUGACUUGCUGAAUCCCCAACAUUAAGACUGAUUCCAUGAUGUAAGUGAUCAUUAUGAGCAUUGAGCAGAGGAUUAAAAUCAGGUAAGUGGCUCUUCAAAGUGGGAGGCUGAAAGUGAACAGCAUGGGUCGAUCCAUCUGAUUUAGGCCUUGUCACAGGGUCACUGUCCAUGAUUUUCGAUUGCUGUUUAGAUGUUUCCAGCCUCAGAGGAAUGAAAGGAGUGGCAUUGACAUUGAACUUUGUUGUUUCUUGUUCAUUUUUAACGUAGGAACUCAUUGCAUUGGACCUGUCUGUUGUAAUACUUUUCGAACCAGAUAUGCUUGCAGCCCUUAGAACGCUCACUUUAGCCAAGUGUGCAGCAAUCUCUUCAUCCAACUUGAGCUUUUCCUUGCGUUUCCGUAUUUGCUGCUCCUCCUCUUCCAGUGCAUGUCUGUCCUGUAAAAGUUUUUGCCGUGCCAUCAGUGCAGCUAAAUCAGCUUCUGCCUUGAUGCGAGCAGAAGAAGUUCCUGAUACGUUGGACCUUUUACCACUCCCAGAGCUUUUUCCACUCACAGCACUUUUUGCAGAUCGUUUGCUUUGCACAUUUGAUAUGCCAUCACUUGGGUUCAUGUCAUCCUGUGGACCUUCAUAAGGUGUGAUGGGGCCUGUGUCCUGUGCUGCUGCCUGUAAAGCAUCAUCUAUUUGAGGGUCACACACAUGCUUUGUUGCUGCGGCCUCAUCAUUAUCCACGAUAUUUAGAACAUGUUCAUUCUCAUCCAACCACUGAGUCACAUCAUCCUUGAAUGUACUGCUGUAACGUUCAAUACUGGAGAACCAAUCAUUCUGUUUAAGUUUUUCAUCCUCAGGUAACAGUGGAAUUAUUGUUUGAUGCAGGUUGAUAGCAGUAUCAAGGAGCUGAGUAAUAGUUUGCAACUGAGAUUUCACUUCCUGUACAUUUUCCUUUCGUUUCAUCAGCUCUUUCAUUGCAGGUAUUAAGCCUUUUAUUUUAUUCACAUGUGUUUUACGUUCAUUUUGUAGAUUUACCACUUUAUAUGCCAAUGCUUUUGCAGUAAGUUUCACAUUCCUUUUAGCAACCACAGUUUCAUUGUUUUCCACUUGUUCCAUGGCUUCACUCAUAUUGUCCUUUUGAGAUUCGGCAGUUCAGUGGUUCGCGCAGUGAAUCCACAAUACACCCAGCAUAGUUUUAUUUUUCCACAGCUUGUUUCACAUCAAUUAACAUCGGAAAACACCACAGGUAUUUACUCUCAACGAGCAGGACAGGCUGUCACAGCGGACUUUCACACACGCGCAGCGCUCCCCAAUGGAUGCGCUGUAUGCGCUGUAAUCAAACUGCGUUCCGUCCAACAUACACAGAAUGAAUGGAUGCGAGUGAUACAGUCCUACCGGUCUGAAGUCCACGUUGCGAUCAGUCUGGCGUUGCAGUUAGACACCGUGUGGCGUGAUCGCGUCCGUAUAUGCCGUUCGGGUGUUGAUACUCCUUUUUUGUUGACAAAAUAUAGUGACUAGGAACGAAAACAAAGUCACUGAGAGGCUAAGUGAGGGAGCUUCCGCAUUGGUGACUCGCUACACAAACCACAAGCCAUUUCCGUGUUUUCCGAUUGAGUUCACAUUUAUUUCCAACGCCGCACAAACAGACAGACAGGGCAAGGCAAGGCAAGAUGAUCUAUGGGCUUAGUUUGACGUUUAAAUCAAGCGGUCAACAAAAAAUACGCUCUCCCUACUCACCCCCUCUCCAUGCAGCCGCCGCAGCACCCAGGUGACUAUAUGUCCAUUCAUUCAAUCAUUCAAUCAUCGCGCCUUGACCACACCCCCUCGUGACGUGCAUGAAAGGUGCAGCCCAGACAGUUGAUGUCAACACACACAAACCUAACCACUUCUGCAUAUGGCACCUACAGUCUGUCUAAUGACAGUCAGGUGCUUAGGUUAGGAUUUAGAUUUAUGUUUACUGAAAAAAGCUGUAUAAAUUUGAUUUAACAUGACUGAAAAUAGAUUGAAAAUAAAUUAUUUUUAAAAUAUGUACAUUUGUUUGGUGUUGAAACAGUUCCACUGCUUUAUUGGUGUUGUAAAAACUGUAGGGAUGCCUUCACCCCCAAGGUCCCGUUUGUCUUAUCACGUUUUAAAGGACUGUUUCACUGCUUUGAAAAAAUUACAGAAAGCAAGUUCUGAGGUCUGGGUCUGCAGAAGAGAAUAGUUGGUGUCUGAACUGUCCUUCCUCGAUUCUACUUAAUGUCUGAGGUGAAUGAUGUUGUCUUUAGUUUGACUGCUGUCUUCUUGCAGACAGUCACUGGCUGCUCUGGGUAAGCUUCAGUGUUUUUUGUUUUUUUUUACAUUUAAUCACACACUUUAGACAUAGACUCC
Non-coding RNA from Xyrichtys novacula (pearly razorfish), 2736 nucleotides. The record is from the annotation of a GenBank genome assembly. NCBI's taxonomy places the organism in Eukaryota, Metazoa, Chordata, Actinopteri, Labriformes, Labridae.